This 253-nucleotide ribosomal RNA is filed under the name uncultured bacterium. Its description in RNAcentral is "partial 16S ribosomal RNA". It matches the Rfam family "Bacterial small subunit ribosomal RNA", at positions 524 to 776 of the family's 1533-position model. The record is from RNAcentral.
UACGAAGGGGGCUAGCGUUGCUCGGAAUUACUGGGCGUAAAGGGCGCGUAGGCGGCCGAUCAAGUCAGGCGUGAAAUUUCCGGGCUCAACCUGGGGGCUGCGCUUGAGACUGGUUGGCUAGAGGCCGAGAGAGGGUGGUGGAAUUCCCAGUGUAGAGGUGAAAUGCGUAGAUAUCGGGAGGAACACCAGUGGCGAAGGCGACUACCUGGCCUGUUCUUGACGCUGAGGCGCGAAAGCUAGGGGAGCAAACGGG